Molecule: small nucleolar RNA, 112 nt
Organism: Alexandromys fortis (reed vole)
Lineage: Eukaryota; Metazoa; Chordata; Mammalia; Rodentia; Cricetidae
Product: small nucleolar RNA SNORA44
Exons: 1
Source: RefSeq, a predicted model, not a curated record
CUUUAUUUUUAAAUUUUUAUUUCCUCUCCAAUGCAUGCCAGAGUAACUGGAGAGACUUUGACAGCCCAGGCCAGCACAGUGCCUGCAGCUGCCACUCGACUUUCCUAUAUAU